AGCGGCCAUACCAUGCUGAAUAUACCGGUUCUCGUUAGAUCGCAUCAUCGGGCGCGGUCAGUACUUGGGUGGGUGACCACCUGGGAACACCGCGUGCUGUU
Non-coding RNA from Caerostris darwini, 101 nucleotides. The record is from the annotation of a GenBank genome assembly. Lineage: Eukaryota; Metazoa; Arthropoda; Arachnida; Araneae; Araneidae.